UAAGGAAUAUUGGUCAAUGGACGCAAGUCUGAACCAGCCAUACCGCGUGAAGGAUGAAGGUCCUCUGGAUUGUAAACUUCUUUUAUCUGGGACGAAAACGGGAUUUUUAUCUCAAUUGACGGUACCAGAGGAAUAAGCACCGGCUAACUCCGUGCCAGCAGCCGCGGUAAUACGGAGGGUGCGAGCGUUAUCCGGAUUUACUGGGUUUAAAGGGUGCGUAGGUGGGCUUAUAAGUCAGUGGUGAAAUCUCCGAGCUUAACUUGGAAACUGCCGGUGAUACUAUAGGUCUUGAAUUAUCUGGAGGUAAGCGGAAUAUGUCAUGUAGCGGUGAAAUGCUUAGAUAUGACAUAGAACACCAAUUGCGAAGGCAGCUUACUACAUAUAAAUUGACGCUGAGGCACGAAAGCGUGGGGAUCAAACA
RNAcentral lists this ribosomal RNA (421 nucleotides) under uncultured bacterium. RNAcentral's name for it is "bacterial SSU rRNA". It matches the Rfam family "Bacterial small subunit ribosomal RNA", at positions 355 to 774 of the family's 1533-position model. The record is from RNAcentral.